Molecule: transfer RNA, 76 nt
Filed under: Haloferula rosea
Lineage: Bacteria; Pseudomonadati; Verrucomicrobiota; Verrucomicrobiia; Verrucomicrobiales; Verrucomicrobiaceae
Also listed under: 2 other names
Description: tRNA-Thr
Rfam family: tRNA
About the family: Transfer RNA (tRNA) molecules are approximately 80 nucleotides in length. Their secondary structure includes four short double-helical elements and three loops (D, anti-codon, and T loops).
Source: RNAcentral
GCCCGUUUAGCUCAGUUGGUAGAGCGCCAUCUUUGUAAGUUGGAUGUCACUGGUUCAAAUCCGGUAACGGGCUCCA